Molecule: non-coding RNA, 771 nt
Organism: Oryzias latipes (Japanese medaka)
Lineage: Eukaryota; Metazoa; Chordata; Actinopteri; Beloniformes; Adrianichthyidae
Source: RefSeq, a predicted model, not a curated record
GGUGGGUCACCAUGCAUUUACUAUAUAUUAUUGGAAUUAUUGUCUCCUGGAUUGUCAUCGAAUCGGGAGGUAAUCAAGAUUGCCAGCCCUACUCUUUACACGCACCUUUUAUGCAGAGAGAUACAUACAUAAUAAAUAAUCAAAUUGAUGGUUGAUCAGUUAUCCCACUACCUCUGUUAACAUGACACUAAGGAUAUAAUGAUUUUGUUAACACAGUAACUAUAACAUUUAUUGAUGAGCCAAGGGUAAGAAUUGUAUUUUUCCAAAGUUUUCAUGUGAAUUUAAAAUUUUUUGACUCUUUGUAUUUCAGACUGCUGAACUUCUCGCCAAUAUAAGCAAGUUCAGGGGUUUAUUCAAAGUACAGAAUGAAGACCAUGCAGCAAUCCAGGAGGCAAUCGAGGACACCACGGUGGGAACUGGCAGUGGUGAGGAAGAGGACAUUCUCGUGGUCCACAUCUCCCAGGCUGUGGUGGUCGACCCACCAAGUGUCUGAGUGGCAGUUGCCAAGGCUUUUUUGGCCUUAUUUACAGCACAAAUCUGAUAACCAUCCUCAUCUCAGAAACACCUUGUCAUGGGGCCCGUGGCUUUGCUCCUGCUAUGAUCUCCUGGAGGCCCUUCCCUUCUUGAGCUCUCCCGCUGGUCACAGGUGUUCUGUAUUAUGUUGAUUGGUUUGUCUAUUUAUGCAGUGUCUGAUCUUGUUUCUGUGUCGGAGCGUCUUCGUUCUACGCUCUGGUGUUAUGGUUCUCUGGCAUUAAAGCCCCUUCGAGUGAA